This 173-nucleotide ribosomal RNA is filed under the name uncultured bacterium. RNAcentral describes it as "partial 16S ribosomal RNA". It matches the Rfam family "Bacterial small subunit ribosomal RNA", at positions 1328 to 1500 of the family's 1533-position model. The record is from RNAcentral.
GGAAUUGCUAGUAAUCGCGGAUCAGCAUGCCGCGGUGAAUACGUUCCCGGGCCUUGUACACACCGCCCGUCACACCAUGGGAGUCGGUAACACCCGAAGCCUGUAGUCUAACCGCAAGGGGGACGCAGUCGAAGGUGGGAUUGAUGACUGGGGUGAAGUCGUAACAAGGUAUC